GAUGAACGCUGGCGGCGUGCCUAAUACAUGCAAGUCGAGCGAACAGACGAGGAGCUUGCUCCUCUGACGUUAGCGGCGGACGGGUGAGUAACACGUGGAUAACCUACCUAUAAGACUGGGAUAACUUCGGGAAACCGGAGCUAAUACCGGAUAAUAUAUUGAACCGCAUGGUUCAAUAGUGAAAGACGGUUUUGCUGUCACUUAUAGAUGGAUCCGCGCCGCAUUAGCUAGUUGGUAAGGUAACGGCUUACCAAGGCGACGAGGCGUAGCCGACCUGAGAGGGUGAUCGGCCACACUGGAGCUGAGACACGGUCCAGACUACUAAGGGAGGCAGCAGUCGGGAAUCGUCCGCAAUGGGCGAAAGCCUGACGGAGCAACGCCGCGUGAGUGAUGAAGGUCUUCGGAUCGUAAAACUCUGUUAUGAGGGAAGAACAAAUGUGUAAGUAACUAUGCACGUCUUGACGGUACCUAAUCAGAAAGCCACGGCUAACUACGUG
Molecule: ribosomal RNA, 497 nt
Filed under: uncultured bacterium
Lineage: Bacteria
Description: partial 16S ribosomal RNA
Rfam family: Bacterial small subunit ribosomal RNA
Source: RNAcentral